UGGGGAAUAUUGCACAAUGGGCGAAAGCCUGAUGCAGCGACGCCGCGUGAGGGAUGACGGCCUUCGGGUUGUAAACCUCUUUCAGCAGGGAAGAAGCGAAAGUGACGGUACCUGCAGAAGAAGCGCCGGCUAACUACGUGCCAGCAGCCGCGGUAAUACGUAGGGCGCAAGCGUUGUCCGGAAUUAUUGGGCGUAAAGAGCUCGUAGGCGGUUAGUCGCGUCUGCUGUGAAAACUCGAGGCUCAACCUCGGGCUUGCAGUGGGUACGGGCUGACUAGAGUGCGGUAGGGGUGACUGGAAUUCCUGGUGUAGCGGUGGAAUGCGCAGAUAUCAGGAGGAACACCGAUGGCGAAGGCAGGUCACUGGGCCGCAACUGACGCUGAGGAGCGAAAGCAUGGGGAGCGAACAGGAUUAGAUACCCUGGUAGUCCAUGCCGUAAACGUUGGCACUAGGUGUGGGGUCCAUUCCACGGAUUCCGUGCCGCAGCAAACGCAUUAAGUGCCCCGCCUGGGGAGUACGGCCGCAAGGCUAAAACUCAAUGAAUUGACGGGGUCAUAGCUGUUUCCU
This 566-nucleotide ribosomal RNA is filed under the name uncultured bacterium. RNAcentral's name for it is "partial 16S ribosomal RNA". It matches the Rfam family "Bacterial small subunit ribosomal RNA", at positions 355 to 1375 of the family's 1533-position model. The record is from RNAcentral.